GAUGAACGCUAGCGACAGGCUUAACACAUGCAAGUCGAGGGGCAGCGGGGUUGUAGCAAUACAACUGCCGGCGACCGGCGCACGGGUGAGUAACACGUAUGUAACCUGCCCUCUGCAGGGGGAUAAGCGGAAGAAAUUCCGUCUAAUACCGCAUAAUACAAUUUGGAGACAUCUCCGGGUUGUCAAAGGAGUGAUCCGGCAGAGGAUGGACAUGCGGCGCAUUAGCUAGUCGGCGGGGUAACGGCCCACCGAGGCUACGAUGCGUAGGGGUUCUGAGAGGAAGGUCCCCCACACUGGUACUGAGACACGGACCAGACUCCUACGGGAGGCAGCAGUGAGGAAUAUUGGUCAAUGGGCGGAAGCCUGAACCAGCCAAGUCGCGUGAGGGAAGACGGUCCUAUGGAUUGUAAACCUCUUUUGCAGGGGAGCAAGGCGCGGUACGUGUACCGCGAAGGAGAGUACCCUGAGAAAAAGCAUCGGCUAACUCCGUGCCAGCAGCCGCGGUAAUACGGAGGAUGCGAGCGUUAUCCGGAUUUAUUGGGUUUAAAGGGUGCGCAGGCGGACUGUUAAGUCAGCGGUAAAAUGUCGGUGCUCAACACCGGCCGGCCGUUGAAACUGGCAGCCUUGAGUGAGCGAGAAGUAUGCGGAAUGCGUGGUGUAGCGGUGAAAUGCAUAGAUAUCACGCAGAACUCCGAUUGCGAAGGCGGCAUACCGGCGCUCAACUGACGCUCAGGCACGAAAGCGUGGGUAUCGAACAGGCUUAGAUACCCUGGUAGUCCACGCAGUAAACGAUGAAUGCUCACUGUCCGGGCCGUUUAAGGCCUGGGUGGUCAAGCGAAAGCGUUAAGCAUUCCACCUGGGGAGUACGCCGGCAACGGUGAAACUCAAAGGAAUUGACGGGGGCCCGCACAAGCGGAGGAACAUGUGGUUUAAUUCGAUGAUACGCGAGGAACCUUACCCGGGCUCAAACGGAAGGGGACAGUAUGAGAAAUCAUACAUUCCUUCGGGACCGCUUCCGAGGUGCUGCAUGGUUGUCGUCAGCUCGUGCCGUGAGGUGUCGGCUUAAGUGCCAUAACGAGCGCAACCCCUAUCGACAGUUGCUAGCAGGUAAAGCUGAGGACUCUGUCGAGACUGCCGGCGCAAGCUGUGAGGAAGGCGGGGAUGACGUCAAAUCAGCACGGCCCUUACGUCCGGGGCGACACACGUGUUACAAUGGCAGGUACAGCGGGAAGCCACCCGGCGACGGGGCGCAGAACCCGAAAACCUGUCUCAGUUCGGAUUGGAGUCUGCAACCCGACUCCAUGAAGCUGGAUUCGCUAGUAAUCGCGCAUCAGCCACGGCGCGGUGAAUACGUUCCCGGGCCUUGUACACACCGCCCGUCAAGCCAUGGAAGCCGGGGGUGCCUGAAGUGCGUGACCGCAAGGGACGCCCUAGGGUAAAACCGGUGACUGGGGCUAAGUCGUAACAAGGUAGCCGUACCGGAAGGUGCGGCUGGAACACCUCCUUUCUGGAGCAAUAAGGCCCGCACGGCGCGCCCGCUCCGGUAGACGCACUUAGAUUCAUAGGCAAAGGAAGAAAAGACAUACUGCAUAGUAUCGACGUUGUCACACCAUAUACCGUAACGCAGCCCCACUGCCGCGACAUGCGGCACAGCCGCCGCACGGACGCGCAGUCUCUUAGCUCAGUUGGUUAGAGCGCUACACUGAUAAUGUAGAGGUCGGCAGUUCAACUCUGCCAGGGACUACACAGAAAGAGAACAUUGACAUACUGGAAGCGUAAAGAUGAGCAAUCAUCUUUGCAAACACGAGCAAAUCAAAAGAAUCAAGACAUACGAACGAGCGCGCGUCGAUAAAACGACGAGCAACGAAGUUCAUGCCGACGCAAAAGCAUUUACAACCCAGUUGUCGCAGUAGCGGCAACGCGUAAACAGGCGAAAAAUCCAAUCUAAAAGGAAAGGAGAAAAGGGCACAUGAAGGAUGCCUUGGCUCUCGGAUGCGACGAAGGACGUGACAAGCUGCGAUAAGCUGUGGCCAGGGGCAAAUACCCGCUAACAACCACAGAUUUCCGAAUGGGGCAACCCACCAUUUCGAUGGUAUCACGCAAAGCGUGAGGCUAACCCGGGGAACUGAAACAUCUAAGUACCCGGAGGAAAAGAAAACAACAGUGAUUGCGCAAGUAGUGGCGAGCGAACGCGCAGGAGCCCAAACCGUUCCUGUUACGGCAGGGACGGGGUUAUAGGACCGUCGCCGGUCCGCCGACAUCAGGUCAGCCGAACGGCUUGGAAAAGCCGGCCAUAGCGGGUGAAAGCCCCUUAGGCGAAGACCUCGACGACAGCGGCAGACGGCACCUGAGUAGUGCGGGACACGCGAAAUCCUGCAUGAAUUCACGGGGACCAUCCCGUAAGGCUAAAUAUUCCCGAGAGACCGAUAGCGAACC
RNAcentral lists this ribosomal RNA (2436 nucleotides) under uncultured Muribaculum sp. RNAcentral's name for it is "partial contains 16S ribosomal RNA, 16S-23S ribosomal RNA intergenic spacer, and 23S ribosomal RNA". The stretch from base 1 to 1507 matches the Rfam family "Bacterial small subunit ribosomal RNA". The record is from RNAcentral. Lineage: Bacteria; Pseudomonadati; Bacteroidota; Bacteroidia; Bacteroidales; Muribaculaceae.